This 1096-nucleotide long non-coding RNA is filed under the name Astyanax mexicanus (Mexican tetra). Its description in RNAcentral is "lncRNA (ENSAMXG00005018535.1)". Lineage: Eukaryota; Metazoa; Chordata; Actinopteri; Characiformes; Acestrorhamphidae. The record is from RNAcentral.
UCCAGUAAGCUAUUCAUAUUCACAGACUGGUGCUAGUAAAAUCUGUCAUCCCCUUUUCUCAGAAGAAACAACACUAGAACUUUCCACAACAGACACAAUUACUGGUAAGUGUGUUUAUAUAUAUAUAUAUAUAUAUAUAUAUAUAUAUAUAUAUAUAUAUAUAUAUAUAUAUAUAUAUAUAAAUAUAUAUAUAUAUAUAUAUAUAUAUUAGAUAAUUCCUUUUUUAAUUUCCCUAUUUAAUACUUAAACUCUUUUAUCUCUGUGUAUCUCUGCAGACACAACAUCACUGCAACCAACAACAGAAAACACCACAACAGACACAUCUAUUAGUAUAAAUUUAACAGACACAACAUUACUGCAAACAACAACAGAAACCACCACAACAGAAACAACUAUUGGCACAACUGCUCUAACAACAAUACUGGAGACAACAACAGAAACGACCACAACAGACACAACUAUUGGCACAACUGUUCUAACAACAAUACUUGAGCCAACAACAGAAACGACCACAACAGACACACCUAUUGGCACUACUGUUGUAACAACAUUACUGCAGCCAACAACAGAAACGACCACAACAGACACACCUAUUGACACAUUCCUCACAAUAACUGCAUCUUCAACCACUAUUUCCUCAACUACUGUUCCCUCUACUAUUGUUCCCACAAAUGCAACUUCAGCACCACCAGGAAAUGUGAUGGUCAUGCGCCUAAAAGUUAUUUCAGUCAAAAACUUGAUGGCAGCGAACAGCUCCCAGUUAUUCCUCCAACAGCUCAAAGAGAUCCUAAUAAGCCGAGGAGUUUCAGACAACUUCACACUUCAACUGAGAUCCAUUAGCAAGAAGUCACCCUAGAAGGUGGAGGUUGUGGGAGUCUUCAAUAACACGUUGCUUAUUAACGUCCUAAAUAACUUUUCUAAAAUGUAUUAUAAAGUCAUUUUCUGAUAAGACAAUAUAGAUAAACCUAGAAGAUAAAAUGAAGCAAAAGCUAAAAUCACAUACAUAGCAAUAUUUUUUAUAAACAAUGAUCUGUGAACUAUAAGAACACCUCUUGUGUUUACUUUAGCUAUAAAUUUGCAUAAGAACAUAUAAUUU